This 1329-nucleotide long non-coding RNA is filed under the name Salmo salar (Atlantic salmon). RNAcentral describes it as "lncRNA (ENSSSAG00000114752.1, ENSSSAG00000115570.1)". The record is from RNAcentral. Lineage: Eukaryota; Metazoa; Chordata; Actinopteri; Salmoniformes; Salmonidae.
GGAGUUUUUCCUAGGGAGUUUUUCCUAGCCACCGUGCUUCUUUCACAUGCAUUGCUUGCUGUUUGGGGUUUUAGGCUGGGUUUCUGUACAGCACUUUGAGAUAUCAGCUGAUGUACGAAGGGCUAUAUAAAUACAUUUGAUUUGAUUUGAUUACUGAGACAGAGGAGGCAGUUGAGGGCCAUGGAUAGAGACAGAGGAGGCAGUUGAGGGCCAUGGAUAGAGACAGAGGAGGCAGCUGAGGGUCAUGGAUAGAGACAGAGCUAUACAGUUUAUAUUUAGAUUAUGGAGUAAACAUGCAGAAAGCUGUCAGUUCUAUUUAUGUCACUGUCACUAACGACACUGAUGAACUGUUGGGUUUGUAAAAUAAUAUUGGCAUAUUACAGAAGGAUCUAUAUUUCUAGUGACACUGUAAGUAUGCUAAAUGACUAAAAUGUACAUCUAAAAUGUAGAAAUAGUUACAGUAGUGGUAGUAGUAGCAAUAGUAGCAGUAGUAGUAGUAGCGGUAGUGGUAGUCAUAGUAGUAGUAGUAGUAGUAGUAGCAGUAGUAGCAAUAGUAGCAGUAGUAGUAGUGGUAGUAGUAGUAGUAGUAGUAGUAGUAGCAGUAGUAGUAGCAGUAGUAGUGGUAGUCGUAGUCGUAGUAGUAGUAGUAGUAGCAGUAGCAGUAGUAGCAGUAGCAGUAGUAGCAAUAGUAGCAGUAGUAGCAGUAGCAGUAGUAGUAGCAGUAGUAGCAGUAGCAGUAGUAGCAGUAGUAGUAGUAGUAGUAGUAGCAGUAGUAGUAGCAGUAGUAGUGGUAGUCGUAGUCGUAGUAGUAGCAAUAGUAGCAGUAGUAGUAGUAGCAGUGGUAGUGGUAGUAGUAGUGGUGGUAGUAGUAGUAGCAGUAGCAGUAGUAGCAAUACAAGCAGUAGCAGCAGCAGUAGUAGUAUAAGUAGUAGUAGUAGUGGUAGUAGUUGUAGUGGUAGUAGUUGUAGUGGUAGUAGUUGUAGUGGUAGUAGUGGUAGUAUUGGUAGUGGUAGUAGUAGUGGUAGAUUUGGUAGUAUUGGUAGUGGUAGCUGUAGUGGAAGUAGUGGUAGUGGUAUUAAACUCAGCAAUAAAAGAAACAUCCUCUCACUGUCAACUGCGUUUAUUUUAAGCAAAUUUAACAUGUGUAAAUAUUUGUAUGAACAUAAGAUUCAACAACUGAGACAUAAACUAAACAAGUUCCAAAAUGGAAUAAUGUGUCCGUUGUCGUGUCUUUGGGGUACCAUUAAACUGAAGACAUGUUUAUCAAUUAACUCCCUGUAAUUAUUAUCACGCGAUUAAACUGAUUAAUCGUUUAAUUGUAAUUAACUA